This 406-nucleotide ribosomal RNA is filed under the name uncultured bacterium. Its description in RNAcentral is "partial 16S ribosomal RNA". It matches the Rfam family "Bacterial small subunit ribosomal RNA", at positions 30 to 526 of the family's 1533-position model. The record is from RNAcentral.
AUUGAACGCUGGCGGCAGGCCUAACACAUGCAAGUCGGGCGAGCGGCGGACGGGUGAGUAAUGUAUGGGGAUCUGCCUGAUGGCGGGGGCUAACUACUGGAAACGGUAGCUAAUACCGCAUACCACCAGAUGCAUCCAUAUGGGAUUAGCUUGUAAGUGGGGUAACGGCUUACCUAGGUGACAAUCCCUUGCUGGUCUGAGAGGAUGAUAAGCCACACUGUGACUGAGAGACGGCCCAGACUCCUACGGGUGGCCGCAGUGGGGAAUAUUGCGAAAGGGGGGCAACUCUGACUCAGCGAUUGCGAGUGAAUGAAGAAGGCCUUCGGGUUGUAAGAAGCUUUCGGUAGCUAAGCGUUACCGACAGAAGAAGCACCGGCUAACUACGUGCCAGCAGCCGCUGUAAUUC